AUGCAACGCGAAAAACCUUACCUGCCCUUGACAUGUCAGGAAUCUUUCAGAGAUGAGAGAGUGCCUUCGGGAACCUGAACACAGGUGCUGCAUGGCUGUCGUCAGCUCGUGUCGUGAGAUGUUGGGUUAAGUCCCGUAACGAGCGCAACCCUUGUCCUUAGUUGCCAGCGGUUCGGCCGGGAACUCUAAGGAGACUGCCGGUGAUAAACCGGAGGAAGGUGGGGACGACGUCAAGUCAUCAUGGCCCUUAUGGGCAGGGCUACACACGUGCUACAAUGGCCAGUACAGAAGGUUGCCAACCCGCGAGGGGGAGCUAAUCCUCAAAAGCUGGUCGUAGUCCGGAUCGCAGUCUGCAACUCGACUGCGUGAAGUCGGAAUCGCUAGUAAUCGCGAAUCAGCAUGUCGCGGUGAAUACGUUCCCGGGCCUUGUACACACCGCCCGUCACACCAUGGGAGUGGGCUGCACCAGAAGUAGGUUGCUUAACCCGUAAGGGAGGGCGCUUACCACGGUGUGGUUCAUGACUGGGGUGAAGUCGUAACAAGGUAGCCGUAGGGGAACC
Molecule: ribosomal RNA, 560 nt
Filed under: uncultured bacterium
Lineage: Bacteria
Description: bacterial SSU rRNA
Rfam family: Bacterial small subunit ribosomal RNA
Source: RNAcentral